This 2997-nucleotide ribosomal RNA is filed under the name Haemophilus influenzae. RNAcentral describes it as "23S ribosomal RNA". It matches the Rfam family "Bacterial large subunit ribosomal RNA". Lineage: Bacteria; Pseudomonadati; Pseudomonadota; Gammaproteobacteria; Pasteurellales; Pasteurellaceae. The record is from RNAcentral.
UUAAGUGACUAAGCGUACAAGGUGGAUGCCUUGGCAAUCAGAGGCGAAGAAGGACGUGCUAAUCUGCGAAAAGCUUGGAUGAGUCGAUAAGAGGCGUUUAAUCCAAGAUAUCCGAAUGGGGAAACCCAGUAGAUGAAGAAUCUACUAUCAACAAGUGAAUUCAUAGCUUGUUGAGGCAAACCGGGAGAACUGAAACAUCUAAGUACCCCGAGGAAAAGAAAUCAACCGAGAUUUCGUCAGUAGCGGCGAGCGAAAGCGAAAGAGCCAGUAAGUGAUAGCAGUAUAGUGAGGAGAAUGUGUUGGGAAGCACAAUCAAAGAGGGUGAUAAUCCCGUAUCUAAAAACCAUAUUGUGGUACUAAGCUAACGAGAAGUAGGGCGGGACACGUGAUAUCCUGUUUGAAGAAGGGGGGACCAUCCUCCAAGGCUAAAUACUCCUGAUUGACCGAUAGUGAACCAGUACUGUGAAGGAAAGGCGAAAAGAACCCCGGUGAGGGGAGUGAAAUAGAACCUGAAACCUUGUACGUACAAGCAGUGGGAGCCCCAUCACUUAAUCCGAUUGGAAGGUGAUGAAAAGCAACCGCAUUUAAACAAUGGUAAGAGGAGCGAAGCGAGUCAAACCACCCAAAAGAAGCAGUGGGAUUAAGUGAUGGGGUGACUGCGUACCUUUUGUAUAAUGGGUCAGCGACUUAUAUUUUGUAGCGAGGUUAACUGAAUAGGGGAGCCGAAGGGAAACCGAGUCUUAACUGGGCGAGUAGUUGCAAGGUAUAGACCCGAAACCCGGUGAUCUAGCCAUGGGCAGGUUGAAGGUUGGGUAACACUAACUGGAGGACCGAACCGACUAAUGUUGAAAAAUUAGCGGAUGACUUGUGGCUGGGGGUGAAAGGCCAAUCAAACCGGGAGAUAGCUGGUUCUCCCCGAAAUCUAUUUAGGUAGAGCCUUGAGGUGACACCUUUGGGGGUAGAGCACUGUUUCGGCUAGGGGGCCAUCCCGGCUUACCAACCCGAUGCAAACUACGAAUACCAAAGAGUGAUACUCAGGAGACACACGGCGGGUGCUAACGUCCGUCGUGGAGAGGGAAACAACCCAGACCGCCAGCUAAGGUCCCCAAGUCUAUAUUAAGUGGGAAACGAAGUGGGAAGGCUUAGACAGCUAGGAUGUUGGCUUAGAAGCAGCCAUCAUUUAAAGAAAGCGUAAUAGCUCACUAGUCGAGUCGGCCUGCGCGGAAGAUGUAACGGGGCUGAAAUAUAGCACCGAAGCUGCGGCAUCAGAAUUUAUUCUGUUGGGUAGGGGAGCGUUGUGUAAGCGGAAGAAGGUUCAUCGAGAGGUGGGCUGGACGUAUCACAAGUGCGAAUGCUGACAUAAGUAACGAUAAAACGGGUGAAAAACCCGUUCGCCGGAAGACCAAGGGUUCCUGUCCAACGUUAAUCGGGGCAGGGUGAGUCGGCUCCUAAGGCGAGGCUGAAAAGCGUAGUCGAUGGGAAACAGGUUAAUAUUCCUGUACUUGGUAAAGCUGCGAUGUGGGGACGGAGUAGGUUAGGUUAUCGCACUGUUGGAUAUGUGCGUUUAAGUUGGUAGGUGGGAAGUUUAGGCAAAUCCGGACUUCCUUAACACAGAGAGAUGAUGACGAGGCUCUACGGAGCUGAAGUAACUGAUACCACACUUCCAGGAAAAGCCACUAAGCGAAAGGCUUUACUAAACCGUACUGAAAACCGACACAGGUGGUCAGGUAGAGAAUACUCAGGCGCUUGAGAGAACUCGGGUGAAGGAACUAGGCAAAAUAGCACCGUAACUUCGGGAGAAGGUGCGCCGGCGUAGAUUGUAAGGGCUAGCCCCUGAAGGUUGAACCGGUCGAAGAUACCAGCUGGCUGCAACUGUUUAUUAAAAACACAGCACUCUGCAAACACGAAAGUGGACGUAUAGGGUGUGAUGCCUGCCCGGUGCUGGAAGGUUAAUUGAUGGUGUAAUCGAAAGAGAAGCACCUGAUCGAAGCCCCAGUAAACGGCGGCCGUAACUAUAACGGUCCUAAGGUAGCGAAAUUCCUUGUCGGGUAAGUUCCGACCUGCACGAAUGGCAUAAUGAUGGCCAGGCUGUCUCCACCCGAGACUCAGUGAAAUUGAAAUCGCCGUGAAGAUGCGGUGUACCCGCGGCUAGACGGAAAGACCCCGUGAACCUUUACUAUAGCUUGACACUGAACAUUGAAUUUUGAUGUGUAGGAUAGGUGGGAGCCUUUGAAGCAGUGACGCCAGUCAUUGUGGAGGCGACCUUGAAAUACCACCCUUUAACGUUUGAUGUUCUAACGAAGAUGACGAAACGUGGUCUCGGACAGUGUCUGGUGGGUAGUUUGACUGGGGCGGUCUCCUCCCAAAGCGUAACGGAGGAGCACGAAGGUUUGCUAAUCACGGUCGGACAUCGUGAGGUUAGUGCAAUGGUAUAAGCAAGCUUAACUGCGAGACAGACAAGUCGAGCAGGUACGAAAGUAGGUCAUAGUGAUCCGGUGGUUCUGAAUGGAAGGGCCAUCGCUCAACGGAUAAAAGGUACUCCGGGGAUAACAGGCUGAUACCGCCCAAGAGUUCAUAUCGACGGCGGUGUUUGGCACCUCGAUGUCGGCUCAUCACAUCCUGGGGCUGAAGUAGGUCCCAAGGGUAUGGCUGUUCGCCAUUUAAAGUGGUACGCGAGCUGGGUUUAGAACGUCGUGAGACAGUUCGGUCCCUAUCUGCCGUGGGCGUAGGAGAAUUGGUUGGGGCUGCUCCUAGUACGAGAGGACCGGAGUGGACGCACCACUGGUGUUCCGGUUGUGUCGCCAGACGCAUUGCCGGGUAGCUAAGUGCGGAAGAGAUAAGUGCUGAAAGCAUCUAAGCACGAAACUUGCCAAGAGAUGAGUUCUCCCAAUCUAAGAGAUUGUAAGGGUUGUUGUAGACUACGACGUAGAUAGGUCUGGUGUGUAAGUGUAGUGAUAUAUUGAGCUAACAGAUACUAAUUGCCCGAGAGGCUUAACU